GAUGUACGCUAGCGACAGGCUUAACACAUGCAAGUCGAGGGGCAGCGAGGGCGUAGCAAUACGCCUGUCGGCGACCGGCGCACUGGUGAGUAACACGUAUGCGACCUGCCCCCUACAGGGGUAUAACCCGUAGAAAUGCGGACUAAUCCCCCCAUAGUCCUGGGUGCUGCAUGGCAUUCAGGGGAAAGGGUUUCCGGUAGGGGAUGGGCAUGCGGCGCAUUAGCUUGUUGGCGGGGUAACGGCCCACCAAGGCGACGAUCAGUAGGGGUUCUGAGAGGAAGGUCCCCCACAUUGGAACUGAGACACGGUCCAAACUCCUACGGGAGGCAGCAGUGAGGAAUAUUGGUCAAUGGGCGCAAGCCUGAACCAGCCAAGUAGCGUGAGGGAAGACUGCCCUACGGGUUGUAAACCUCUUUUGUUUGGGAAUAAAGUGCGGGACGUGUCCCGCAUUGCAUGUACCAUUUGAAUAAGGACCGGCUAAUUCCGUG
RNAcentral lists this ribosomal RNA (488 nucleotides) under uncultured bacterium. RNAcentral's name for it is "bacterial SSU rRNA". It matches the Rfam family "Bacterial small subunit ribosomal RNA", at positions 28 to 507 of the family's 1533-position model. The record is from RNAcentral.